This 499-nucleotide ribosomal RNA is filed under the name uncultured bacterium. RNAcentral describes it as "partial 16S ribosomal RNA". It matches the Rfam family "Bacterial small subunit ribosomal RNA", at positions 899 to 1397 of the family's 1533-position model. The record is from RNAcentral.
ACUCAAAGGAAUUGACGGGGGCCCGCACAAGCGGUGGAUCAUGUGGUUUAAUUCGAAGCAACGCGAAGAACCUUACCUGGGUUUGACAUCCCCGGACCGCUGUAGAGAUACAGCUUCGGUAGCAAUACCGCCGGGUGACAGGUGCUGCAUGGCUGUCGUCAGCUCGUGUGGUGACAUGUUGGGUUAAGUCCCGCAACGAGCGCAACCCUUGUCCUUAGUUGCCAGCAUUCAGUUGGGCUCUCUAGGGAGACUGCCGUGGUUAACACGGAGGAAGGUGGGGAUGACGUCAAGUCCUCAUGGCCUUUAUAUCCAGGGCGACACACGUGAUACAAUGGACGGUACAGAGGGAAGCGAAACCGCGAGGUGGAGCCAAUCUCAAAAAGCCGUUCUCAGUUCGGAUUGGAGUCUGCAACUCGACUCCAUGAAGUUGGAAUCGCUAGUAAUCGCGGAUCAGCACGCCGCGGUGAAUACGUUCCCGGGCCUUGUACACACCGCCCGU